UGGGGAAUAUUGGACAAUGGGCGCAAGCCUGAUCCAGCGACGCCGCGUGUGUGAAGAAGGCCUGCGGGUUGUAAAGCACUUUCGAUGGGAACGAAAUGUGCCGGGUUAAUACCCCGGUAAGCUGACGUUACUCAAUGAAGAAGCACCGGUUAACUCUGUGCCAGCAGCCGCGGUAAUACGUAGGGACCAAGCGUUGUUCGGAUUUACUGGGCGUAAAGGGCGCGUAGGCGGCAAUUCAAGUCAUCUGUGAAAUCUCCGGGCUUAACUCGGAACGGUCAGAUGAUACUGCUUUGCUAGAGUGCAGAAGGGGCAAUCGGAAUUCUUGGUGUAGCGGUGAAAUGCGUAGAUAUCAAGAGGAACACCUGAGGUGAAGACGGGUUGCUGGGCUGACACUGACGCUGAGGCGCGAAAGCCAGGGGAGCAAACGGGAUUAGAUACCCUUGUAGUCCCUGAGCGGGCUGGCAAGGCGCAU
Molecule: ribosomal RNA, 472 nt
Filed under: uncultured bacterium
Lineage: Bacteria
Description: bacterial SSU rRNA
Rfam family: Bacterial small subunit ribosomal RNA
Source: RNAcentral